This 253-nucleotide ribosomal RNA is filed under the name uncultured bacterium. RNAcentral's name for it is "partial 16S ribosomal RNA". It matches the Rfam family "Bacterial small subunit ribosomal RNA", at positions 524 to 776 of the family's 1533-position model. The record is from RNAcentral.
UACGUAGGGACCAAGCGUUGUUCGGAUUUACUGGGCGUAAAGGGCGCGUAGGCGGCUUGACAAGUCACUUGUGAAAUCUCCGGGCUUAACUCGGAACGGCCAAGUGAAACUGUCAUGCUAGAGUGCAGAAGGGGCAAUCGGAAUUCUUGGUGUAGCGGUGAAAUGCGUAGAUAUCGGGAGGAACACCUGUGGCGAAAGCGGCGCACUGGACCACAACUGACGCUGAGGCGCGAAAGCUAGGGGAGCAAACAGG